RNAcentral lists this ribosomal RNA (1124 nucleotides) under Vibrio parahaemolyticus. RNAcentral describes it as "partial 23S ribosomal RNA". It matches the Rfam family "Bacterial large subunit ribosomal RNA", at positions 1827 to 2925 of the family's 2925-position model. The record is from RNAcentral. Lineage: Bacteria; Pseudomonadati; Pseudomonadota; Gammaproteobacteria; Vibrionales; Vibrionaceae.
AAAAUCGUAAGAUGACGUAUACGGUGUGACGCCUGCCCGGUGCCGGAAGGUUAAUUGAUGGGGUUAGACUUCGGUCGAAGCUCUUGAUCGAAGCCCCGGUAAACGGCGGCCGUAACUAUAACGGUCCUAAGGUAGCGAAAUUCCUUGUCGGGUAAGUUCCGACCUGCACGAAUGGCGUAAUGAUGGCCACGCUGUCUCCACCCGAGACUCAGUGAAAUUGAAAUCGCUGUGAAGAUGCAGUGUACCCGCGGCUAGACGGAAAGACCCCGUGAACCUUUACUACAGCUUGGCACUGAACAUUGACCCUACAUGUGUAGGAUAGGUGGGAGGCUUUGAAGCACGUACGCCAGUAUGUGUGGAGCCGUCCUUGAAAUACCACCCUUGUAGUGUUGAUGUUCUAACGUCGACCCCUAAUCGGGGUUGCGGACAGUGCCUGGUGGGUAGUUUGACUGGGGCGGUCUCCUCCCAAAGAGUAACGGAGGAGCACGAAGGUGGGCUAAUCACGGUUGGACAUCGUGAGGUUAGUGCAAUGGCAUAAGCCCGCUUGACUGCGAGAAUGACAAUUCGAGCAGGUGCGAAAGCAGGUCAUAGUGAUCCGGUGGUUCUGAAUGGAAGGGCCAUCGCUCAACGGAUAAAAGGUACUCCGGGGAUAACAGGCUGAUACCGCCCAAGAGUUCAUAUCGACGGCGGUGUUUGGCACCUCGAUGUCGGCUCAUCACAUCCUGGGGCUGAAGUCGGUCCCAAGGGUAUGGCUGUUCGCCAUUUAAAGUGGUACGCGAGCUGGGUUUAGAACGUCGUGAGACAGUUCGGUCCCUAUCUGCCGUGGGCGUUGGAAGAUUGAAGGGGGCUGCUCCUAGUACGAGAGGACCGGAGUGGACGAACCUCUGGUGUUCGGGUUGUGUCGCCAGACGCAUUGCCCGGUAGCUAAGUUCGGAAUCGAUAACCGCUGAAAGCAUCUAAGCGGGAAGCGAGCCCUGAGAUGAGUCUUCCCUGAUACUUUAAGUAUCCUAAAGGGUUGUCGGAGACUACGACGUUGAUAGGUCAGGUGUGUAAGUGCUGUGAGGCAUUGAGCUAACUGAUACUAAUUGCCCGUGAGGCUUAACCAUACAACACCCAAGGGGUUU